This 468-nucleotide ribosomal RNA is filed under the name uncultured bacterium. RNAcentral's name for it is "partial 16S ribosomal RNA". It matches the Rfam family "Bacterial small subunit ribosomal RNA", at positions 28 to 507 of the family's 1533-position model. The record is from RNAcentral.
GACGAACGCUGGCGGCGUGCUUAACACAUGCAAGUCGAACGGAAAGGUCCUGCUUUUGUGGGGUGCUCGAGUGGCGAACGGGUGAGUAACACGUGAGUAACCUGCCCCUGACUUUGGGAUAACUUCAUGAAACUGGGGCUAAUACCGGAUAGGAGCUCCUGCUGCAUGGUGGGGGUUGGAAAGUUUCGGCGGUUGGGGAGGGACUCGCGGCUUAUCAGCUUGUUGGUUGGGUAGUGUCUUACCAAGGCUUUGACGGGUAGCCGGCCUGAGAGGGUGACAGGACCAACUGGGACUGGGAUACGGCACAGCCCACUCUGGGAGGCAGCAGUGGGGAAUAGUGCACAAUGGGAGGAAGCCUGAUCUAGCCACGCUGCGUGGGGGAAGACGGGCUUGGGGUUGGAAACUGCUUUCGCCUGUGACGAAGAGUGAGUGACGGUAAUGGGUAAAGAAGCACCGGCUAACUACGUG